UAUAUGGAUCUGAAGAUUAUUUUUGAUUUACUCUAUUAUUUUAAGAUUUUCUUGUUAGGAAUAUUUGUUAUAUUUUCCUUUUAGAUAAAUCUGUAGUUAAGAUUUUUUGGUUAUUUUCCUUUUAGAUAAAUCUCUAGUUGAGAUUUUUUUGGUUAUUCUCAGAUGUAAUUAGGAUAUAAAUAACCUACAAGGUUUUAUGAAAAGGGGACGAUGAUUAUUGAAUAAAAAUUUUGAACCUUUCCUGCAAAGAUUUUUGGUGAGAGUUUUUCCCGGAUGGUUUUCCGGUUCUGGCGAGGUCCAGAGUUUUAAUAUUUUGUUGGAUCUGAGUUCCUCUUAAUUUUCUGCAAAUUUUGACUACUUAUUUGUGAGAAUUGAGUAAGAUUUGAGAAAAUAGAGAGGUUGAGAGUAGAGAGGAGAGCUUGUGCAAGCAGCUGAGAGAAGAGGUUGAAGACGAAACUUAGAAACGUAGAUCCUUGAGGCGCUGCUCCCGAGGCGGCUUGGCUUCUUGCACACGUCAUCAGGCCAUGUGCCUGUGCUGAAGCAUCAAGCAGCAACUAUAUUGGAUGAACCCGGUUCACAGCACAAGCUAAGUAUUCCCCUAUACACCUCAAUUUACGCAAAUCAUCUACUGGUAAUAAAAGGUUGGUCGAUAAAACGUUUUGAUUUUUAUUUUUUUCUCGAAAAAAAAAAUUUCGUAGAUCUGUUUUUUUUUUUAUCGUCCUAAACUUUUAAAAAUUGUUUUGUCUCUUUAAUCUUGCAAGAUACUUGAUUAUUAUUGUUGGGCGAAAUUCGAUUACGCGGUAUUUACAAGCAUGAUUAGGAGGAUGUUGCAAAUAGAUUGUGGAUGAUCUGGACUAAUCAUAAUAGUUUAAUCAUGCAUUCGCUGGAUGUCGUAUGGUACAAUCUCCUAUCUGAUCAACUUUUCUUAUUUUAUUAAUUUUCUUUUCGAACGUUCAUUUCUAAAAAAAUAUAUAUAUAUUUUUGCUCGUUUAAUUUUAUCUUAGCAAAAUUUUUGUCUACCACAUCUAAGGAGUUUUACAUGUAGGAUAGGUUUGACCCGUCCUGCAUCAGAUUUGGUAUCAGAGCCCUAGGUUAAUGUAUGAUCCUUAGAAGUGGUAAAAUUUAUCAUCCUGAACCCAUGUCUUUUGAACCCACUGCAAUGGAUCAGAUUUUACAGCAACUGACUGCUUUGAACACUAAAUUAGAUGACAUAGGGGAUCGUGUGGCCAUCCUUGAGACUAGUCGGACUGUAGUAGGCAAUGUGAUUGCAACUCCUGAUAGAAUAGCCCUCAGAGCCCAACGCCAACCCGACCUUCCUAGACAUAAUUUCUCACUAGACAACGACAUUACCAAAAAGAUCAAAAUUGAAGCCCCAACUUUCGAUGGAAGAUUUGAUCCUAAGACUUUCACUGAUUGGCUGACUGAUAUGGACCAAUUCUUUGAUUGGAACGAUAUGUCGGAUGACCGUCGCGUUCGCUUUACCAAAAUGAAACUUGUAGGGGCAGCCAAAUAAUAUUGGGUGAGUGUUGAGCGAUAAUUGGCUAGGUCUAGGCAAGCACCGAUCACGUUGUGGGAUGAGAUGAAGGCCAAAUUAAGUGAAAAAUAUUUGCCCUCGACCCAUAGGCAGCUUCAAAUAGAACAAAUGUUGUCCUUACGUCAAGGUUCAAUGUCCGUGGCUGAUUACAUGCAAAAGUUUGAUGAGAUUUCUGUUAGGUGUAAUGUCCAGGAAGAAGAGGACGUGACAUUGGCCCGGUUUAGGAGAGGAUUACGUGAGGAAAUCUAGAAAGAGAUUACACCCCAUCGAGUAAACACAGUAGAGGAUGCGUUCCAACUCGCACUCGAAUAUGAGCGUUAUCUUAAACCACCUACUAGGCGUUUCGGUUACCAAGCCGGGGAGUCAAGUACUAAGAAGUGGACCGAUAGAAACCAAAACACUGGUAAGUCAAUCGUACCCUUCAAUCAACCUAAUCGAGAUUCUAGGGGAAAAUCUUUAGUUGAAGGAACUAAACCAGACCUUUCUCCAGUGAAGUGUUUUAACUGUGAAGUAAUGGACCAUUACUCGAAUAAGUGUCCACAAAAGCGUAACUUGAUGAUGAAAAACGAUGAAGAUGAUUUCGAGGAAGUAGUGCAUGAGACUGAGGAGUAUCCAAGUGACAAGGAUGAGAGCGCGUAUGUAGAUGACCUAGACGACAUCAUUCCACUACAAGUCGUCCGUUGUGUUCUUACCACGAAGGAGGAUGAGGGUGACUGGCGACGCACUGCUAUCUUCCACACUUAUACCAAGUGCGGGGAUAAGGUAUGCAAGGUCGUUAUUGAUGGCGGCAGUUGCAUGAAUGUGGUAGCCAAAACAGCCCUUGACCGAAUGAAGUUGACCCCUGAACCACAUCCAAAUCCCUUUCGAGUUGCUUGGGUAGAUAAGACUACGAUACCUGUCACUGAGCGAUGUUUGGUCCCUCUCAACUUUGCUACAUAUAGGGAUCAAGUAUGGUGUGAUGUCCUCCCAAUGGAUGUCGGACACAUUCUUUUGGGACGACCAUGGUUGUACGAUCAUGAUGUUACACAUUAUGGUCGUCAAAACACAUACACCUUCACUCAUGAUAAGAAAAAGAUCGUGCUAAGACCUCACCGACCUAAGCUGAUUCAGUAUUCGACCAGCCAAUCUAAUGCACGUAAUGGACCAACCACAUCUAAGGAAAAUAGGUUGGUAGAGCAAACUAGACCGCUUCAAUUCUUGAACAAGAAGCAAUUUUGUAGGGAGGCUAGUUCUGUCGUUGUUUACGCAUUAGUUGUUCGAGAGGUAGAGAAGCCUUCCCUUGAAUCUGAUCUGCCAUUGAACCUUCGAAACCUAUUAUCUGACUAUUCUGAUUUGACCCCAGACGAGUUACCUGAUUAGCUGCCACCCAUGAGAGAUAUUCAACAUGCGAUAGAUUUGGUGCCUGGAUCAUCAUUGUCAAACCUGCCACAUUAUAGGAUGAACCCUAAGGAGCAUGGUGAAUUGAAACGUCAAGUAGAGGACUUGGUUAGAAAAGGUUUCAUUAGGGAGAGUAUGAGUCCUUGUGCAGUCCCGGCACUCCUUACUCCUAAGAAGGAUGGAACUUGGCGAAUGUGCAUCGAUAGUCGAGCCAUCAACAAGAUCACUAUUAAGUAUAGAUUUCCGAUUCCUCGAUUGGAUGAUAUGCUUGAUAUGAUGGCUGGAUCCAUAAUCUUUACAAAAAUUGAUCUUAGAAGCGGGUAUCAUCAAAUAAGAAUUAGAUAAGGAGAUGAGUGGAAAACUGCCUUUAAAACGAAGGAAGGAUUGUGCGAGUGGUUGGUCAUGCCAUUCGGAUUGACGAAUGCCCCAAGUACAUUCAUGCGAGUCAUGAAUCAAGUGCUUCAACCUUUCAUAGGAAAAUUCCUUGUAGUCUAUUUCGACGAUAUUCUGAUUUAUAGUAAGACCGAAGAUGAACACCUAAGUCACCUUAGGCAAGUUUUAGACACUCUUAGGAGAGAAAAGCUUUACAUCAAUACCAAGAAAUGUGUUUUCAUGCAACCUAAGGUUGUUUUCUUAGGCUUCGUAGUAUCUGUAAAUGGAGUGUCAGCCGAUCCCGAUAAGGUCAAAGCAAUCCAACAGUGGCCCCAACCGCAGAAUAUUCGUGAUGUUAGAAGUUUUCAUAGGUUAGCGAUAUUCUACUGAAGAUUCAUUAGAGGUUUUAGUACCAUUAUGGCUCCAAUUACAAAUUGCAUGAAAAAGGGAGAAUUCACAUGGACCAAGGCUGCGAGUAAGGCAUUUAAUGAAAUUAAGGAACGUAUGGCUAAUCCACCUGUCUUGAGAUUACCUGAUUUUGAGAAGAUCUUUGAGGUUUCGUGCGAUGCAUCUGGAGUAGGAAUAGGUGGAAUCUUGAGUCAAGAAGGUCAUCCAAUUGCUUAUUUUAGUGAAAAAUUGAAUGAGGCAAAGAUGAAAUACUCCACGCACGACAAGGAAUUGUAUGCAAUUGUGCACGCCCUACGAUAUAGGCGACAUUAUUUAUUACCUAAGGAGUUUGUUUUACUUUCGGACCAUCAAGCCCUUAGCUAUCUUAAGUCGCAAAAGAAAUUAAAUUCACGGCAUGCCAAGUGGGUUGCGUUUUUUGAGGAAUAUACCUAUGUUCUUAAGCAUGUUGCUGGUAUCGAAAACAGAGCUGCCGAUGCUCUUAGUCGUGUUAUCAUGACUUUGCAUGCUGUAGGAACACAAGUCAUAGGGUUUGAUCGAGUUAAAGACGAAUACCCCACGUGUCCAGAUUUUGGUGAGACUUAUAAGAAUAUUCUUGAUGGAUUGCAUGAUAACCCUGAUUUUAUUAUUCAUGAUGGAUAUUUAUUUAAGGGUAGACGUUUGUAUGUUCCCCAAGGUUCAUUGAGAGAUUUUAUGAUUUGGGAAUUGCAUUUUGGAGGUUUAGCAGGGCAUUUUGGUAGGGAUAAGACCAUUAUUUUGGUAGAGGAUCGUUUGUUUUGGCCAAGUCUUAAACGAGAUGUGGCACGUGUUGUUGCCCAGUGUGGUAUAUGCCAGACUGGUAAAGGAAAGCGAAAAAAUAUUGGAUUAUAUACACCUUUACCUAUACCUCACGCCCCCUGGCAAGAUCUUAGCAUGGACUUUGUUCUAGGACUUCCUAAAACCAUUCGAGGUCACGAUUCGAUUUUAGUUGUCGUUGAUAGGUUUUCAAAAAUGGCACAUUUUAUAUUAUGUAGGAAGACUUCUGACGCCACCCAUGUAGCGAAACUUUUUGUUGAUCACGUCAUAAAAUUGCAUGGAUUACCAAAGACUAUUGUGAGUGAUAGAGAUGUGCGGUUUGUGAGUUAUUUUUGGAAGACAAUGUGGAAAUUAAUGAACACUAAAUUACAAUUUUCUUCACCAUAUCACCCACAAACAGAUGGCCAAAUUGAGGUUGUUAAUCGAAGCUUAGGAGAUUUAUUACGUUGUCUAGUGGGUGAUCACACUAGGAACUGGGAUAGCGUUUUACCUAUGGCCGAAUUUGCCUAUAAUAACUCAGUUAAUCGCACCACUGGAAUGAGUCCGUUUGAGAUUGUCAUUGGUUACAACCCUAGGACACCCAUUGACCUAAUUCUGUUACCCGUAGACUAUAGGUCAAGCCAACAUGCUGAAGCCUUUGUUCAACAUAUAAAAGAAUUGCAUGAUAAAAUAAGACGAGCAAUUAUUUUAAAAACUGAGAUUUACGCAAAUAAAGCAAAUGAACGUCGGCGUAAAGGAAAUUUUAAAGAAGGAGAUAUGGUUAUGGUAAGGGUUCGACCAGAACGAUUUCGCAGCGGUACAGUGAAAAAGCUACAUGCAAGAAAUUUGGGUCCAUUCAAAAUCUUGAAACAACUGAAUCCAAAUGCUUAUGUCUUGGAUUUGCCUGCUAAUAUCGGGUUUAACUCAAUGGUCAAUAUCGAGGAUCUGAGCCACUACCAUGAGCCUCUUUCCAUUGAGAAUCCCAUCUCCAUAAAUAUAUCUCCACGUCAACCUCCUCCUCCACUUCCAAUCCCUCCCAUACCGAGAAAGAAAGAAGAAAUCGAACAGGUUCUCGACGACCGAGUUGUUAUUACACGAUCAGGAGAUUCGCGUAGCUUUAUGGUAAAGUGGGCAUCCCGACCAGAUGAAGAAGUGACAUGGAUACCGGAACACGAGCUUAGAGACAUUGCUCCAGAUCUCAAGCAGCUGAGAGAAGAGGUUGAAGACGAAACUUAGAAACGUAGAUCCUUGAGGCGCUGCUCCCGAGGCGGCUUGGCUUCUUGCACACGUCAUCAGGCCAUGUGCCUGUGCUGAAGCAUCAAGCAGCAACUAUAUUGGAUGAACCCGGUUCACAGCACAAGCUAAGUAUUCCCCUAUACACCUCAAUUUACGCAAAU
RNAcentral lists this long non-coding RNA (5859 nucleotides) under Ananas comosus (pineapple). Its description in RNAcentral is "long non-coding RNA (ACOM_LNC030771)". The record is from RNAcentral. Lineage: Eukaryota; Viridiplantae; Streptophyta; Magnoliopsida; Poales; Bromeliaceae.